UGAACGCUAGCGGGAGGCUUAAUACAUGCAAGUCGAGGGGUAACGAUGGUGCUUGCACCAGGCGACGACCGGCGAACGGGUGAGUAACGCGUACACAAUCUACCUUCAAGUGGGGAAUAGCCCUGGGAAACUGGGAUUAAUGCCCCAUAGUAUUACCGUGUAAUAUGAUAUGGUAAUUAAAGUUUCGACGCUUGAAGAUGGGUGUGCGUCCCAUUAGCUAGUUGGUGAGGUAACGGCUCACCAAGGCGACGAUGGGUAGGGGGCGUGAGAGCGUGGUCCCCCACACGGGUACUGAGACACGGACCCGACUCCUACGGGAGGCAGCAGUAAGGAAUAUUGGACAAUGGGCGCAAGCCUGAUCCAGCCAUCCCGCGUGUAGGAUGACUGCCCUAUGGGUUGUAAACUACUUUUAGAUAGGAAGAAACCCACACGUUUACGUGUGGCUGACGGUACUAUCAGAAUAAGCACCGGCUAACUCC
Molecule: ribosomal RNA, 479 nt
Filed under: uncultured bacterium
Lineage: Bacteria
Description: bacterial SSU rRNA
Rfam family: Bacterial small subunit ribosomal RNA
Source: RNAcentral